CCUACGGGUGGCAGCAGUGGGGAAUAUUGCGCAAUGGGCGAAAGCCUGACGCAGCGACGCCGCGUGAGGGAUGAAGGUCUUCGGAUCGUAAACCUCUGUCAGCAGGGAAGCACGGUCACUGUGCUAAUCAGCCGUGAAUUGACGGUACCUGCAAAGGUAGCACCGGCUAACUCCGUGCCAGCAGCUGGGGUAAUACGGAGGGUGCGUGCGUUAAUCGGAAUUACUGGGCGUAAAGCGCUCGUAGGCGGGAUGUCAAGGCAAGGGGUAAAACCCCGGGCCUAACGUGGGAACUGCCUUUGAAACUGGCAACCUGGAGUGUGUGAGAGGAUCGUGGAAUUCCAGGUGUAGGAGUGAAAUCCGUAGAUAUCUGGAGGAACAUCAGUGGCGAAGGCGACUAUCUGGCACAUAACUGACGCUGAGGAGCGAAAGCGUGGGUAGCAAACAGGAUUAGAUACCCGGGUAGUC
This 465-nucleotide ribosomal RNA is filed under the name uncultured bacterium. Its description in RNAcentral is "partial 16S ribosomal RNA". It matches the Rfam family "Bacterial small subunit ribosomal RNA", at positions 338 to 795 of the family's 1533-position model. The record is from RNAcentral.